This 265-nucleotide ribosomal RNA is filed under the name uncultured bacterium. RNAcentral's name for it is "partial 16S ribosomal RNA". It matches the Rfam family "Bacterial small subunit ribosomal RNA", at positions 793 to 1055 of the family's 1533-position model. The record is from RNAcentral.
GUCCACGCCGUAAACGAUGAUAACUAGCUGUCCGGGCUCAUAGAGCUUGGGUGGCGCAGCUAACGCAUUAAGUUAUCCGCCUGGGGAGUACGGUCGCAAGAUUAAAACUCAAAGGAAUUGACGGGGGCCUGCACAAGCGGUGGAGCAUGUGGUUUAAUUCGAAGCAACGCGCAGAACCUUACCAGCCUUUGACAUCCUAGGACGGCUUCUGGAGACAGAUUUCUUCCCUUCGGGGACCUAGUGACAGGUGCUGCAUGGCUGUCGU